CCUCUGUCCUGGCCGCCUUCCCACCCCUCCUAGGCCGGCUUCCCGCCUUGGGGCCCAGUCGCGCACCUCAGGCCCCAGGAACCCCAGUGUCCCGCUGGGCUUCCCCUCCUCCGGAGGCGAAAGGCCUUGUUUUCUUGCAGUUGCCUCCUCUGCCCUCUUCUCUUGGGGCUCCUUCUUCCACGAUUGCCUCUAUCAAGCAGAAAACCGUGUCCUGGGCCCAACUUUGCAGAGACAAACGGAAAAGCUGCGCAGGCAGAAAGCUAGGAGAUUCACUGCCCCUGGACCCUCGACCCUUAGUCACCUCUGUGCCCCCAUGGCAUCUAUGCCCGGGCCAAGCGCGCCCCCGGAGAGACCUCGCCAACUCAGCGCGACUACAACUUCCCCGGGGGCGGCGGUCGCACCCUGGGCAUCUGCCCUCGUUCUCCUGACCAUCAGAUCUCCUCUCGCCAGAUAACCAGAUCUGCCUGUCGUCUACCCUCUCUCGGCCUCCCAGGAUCUGCCUGGACAAGGAGUGUGCUGGAAUGGCCCAGAAGGUCUGGGCUGUUCAACCUCCCCCUAAAGGGUUGGGGCGUCCGCCUCUGGAGCCUCAGAGAAUCUCCAUGUCUGGCGAAAACACUUAGAGGUAGUUCUGCAUCCCUCAGCGAAGGCCAGGGCUGGAAUCGGGAGAAAGCGGGGCUCCUCUCCCUUCUGUCCCCCAACCGGCCAGCCGGAGGGGGAUGAGGGGAGCAAACCAGGUCUACCUUUCCAAGCUGGGCUCUCCGAGGUAGGGGGCGCGCAGCCGGGCUGCCGUGUCUCCCGGGCGCCAAGCCGAGACCCGCGCGCAGGACACUAGUCCGCCUGGCUCAGUCGUUGUAACAACUUGGAAGGAAUAUUGUUAGGAGAGCAAACAAAUAAACACAAAGUUGUUAAUGUCAAAUCAUUCUCUCCAG
Molecule: long non-coding RNA, 929 nt
Organism: Bos taurus (domestic cattle)
Lineage: Eukaryota; Metazoa; Chordata; Mammalia; Artiodactyla; Bovidae
Source: Ensembl